UACGUUCCGAAUUUAAUGUUUUUGUGACUUUAUUUUUAUUUUUAUUUUUCUUUUUCUUAAUGUUCUUUUUACCACUCGGGUCAUUAGAAACCUGGCGGUCCGUAGGUUUUAGAAAGGUGCCUUCCUUCCAAGAAACCUUAUCGCUAUUACUGACCUUAUUAAUUCUUUUAUUUUUUUGCAGCGAAGACGAAGCAGGACGAUCCCCCAAGGCGACAGCAGAUUCCCGGACAGCUGAUCCAAAGAACGCCUCCUUCAUCUGCCUCAUCUCAUAGAUCAUCCGGUUCAUCCCAUCUCCCAAUCUGUCCAGGGUAUUAAUGAUGGCGAGAUCCAGACCCACUCUGCUCUGAAAAUCACCAGUCACUCCACCCCCACACUCAUCAGGAGAAGCAGAAGCCGACACCAACUGAUCCACGUUCCUCACACCAGCAUCAUCAAGCAUUACAGAUGUAUUGGAAUCACAGGAAAUAAUUUCCUCAGAAUCCGAAUAAUCAGCCGUACAAAACAUGGUAGUCGAUAGAGGAGGACUCGCAGAAGCACGAGACAUCUCAACCUCAUCGGCCACCGGAAUACGCACACCCCUCACGGAGCCCGGACUAGAGUUUCUUCUAGGCAAUAUCGUAAUGGCAGUGUCUAGCCUUUCGAUGCUAGCGAUAGCCACUCGGUUCUCCACGCUCGCCGCAGACGUGGAGGCCAGCCCUUCGCAUGAUGCCGACCCGUGGGGGACAGGGACAAUACCCCCCACGUGUCGUUUCUCGG
This is a non-coding RNA of Linepithema humile (Argentine ant), 756 nucleotides long. NCBI's taxonomy places the organism in Eukaryota, Metazoa, Arthropoda, Insecta, Hymenoptera, Formicidae. The record is from RefSeq and is a predicted model, not a curated record.